GUUUCUGCUGAGCACAGUGAACUCCUCUUUUUCUGUUUCUAUCCCAUAUUUUCUGUUUUGUUUUGUUUUUGUUUAUUUAUUUAUUUAUUUAUUUAUUUGGUUACCGCAUUAUCAUAGGAAAAGAAAGUGAGCAAGUAAAAAAAUUUGAAGGCUUUGCGAUUGAGGAGAUUCUAGAAUAUGGGAUGGAGCUUGACUAACACAAGCUCAUCCAAAGGUGGGGCUCUGAUAAUUAUGCAGUGAGGAGGAUGCAUGUAUAUCAAUUAAAGGGUGCUGCACACUGCCAGCCUCACCUCGCCCUGCUCACGUCAAAGCAGGCUUGGCGGCAGGUACUACAAGUUGAACAUGUGAAAUACAGAAAGCAAGGAAACAGCCACCUCCUUCCACGAGGAGCCAUCUGGACUAUAGAGAUGCACUCACCCCAAGUCAAGUCUCAUGCUGGGCUGUAACCUUGACCUUGGUCUCCACACUGGCCACAAAGUGGGAGAUAGCACACCAUCUACUCCUCUGAAGAGCUACAUGGGGGCAAAGUCUUCCUUGUCUCAAUUUGCUUUAAAGUCAGAAAGGGCCCUGCUAAACAAGUUAGCAUCAGAUCAUUUCCUCUCAUGAUGUCCCAAACCUGGAUAUCUAGAAGCCUCCGAAAGCAGCUACCUGUUCACCUUGUGUGUGGGGAUUGGUGAUCUGAAGGUGCAUUCUGAAGGAGGGGGCUGUCUCCCUCAUCUUUGCAUUCCUGUUCCCUGGUACACAGGUAAGCAGAAGAAAUGCCCAUGAAUGCUUAGGAAGAGACCUUAUAAACAAGUAACCUGAGCCAUAUGCUGUGAGGCGGAGCAUCGCUGGCCCUCCAGCUCUUCUCUGAAUAGUAGUUCUGUUCUUGCCUAUGUUGACAUUUGAGAUCCUCUUGAGACUUCACAGCCUGUGGGAUGAUCAGGGUUCCCCACCCCACUGCCUCCCCGAUACCAUCCUUCUCCCUAGCACUUGGCUCCUUCGGAAGCACAUCUACGGUCAGCUUCAACUACCAACAAUCCUAGGAAACAGGUGCCACAUCCUCCCCACCAGCUCAGGCCUGAUUCCAACCCAAACUCAUUUAACCCUGGACUGGCCUGUCAGAGUCUGAGAUUCUCAUCCAGCUUUUAUCCCUGAACACAGGUUGACUGAAGCAAGGCCUGGGUAUGGGAUUUCACCCUGGCUAUGAUGGCAUAGCACCAAGUAUUUGGGACAUAAUGGGGGGAAAAAGCUAACCAGCUGUUUCUAAACAUCCAGAUGUCUGCCAGAGGGAACAGAAACAUCCUGGCAUCUGCCUGACUAACUGGGUAUAUUGUCCAAGUAGAAGGGCAGAGGUCCCGGGACCAGGCUGACUGGUGCCCUGUGUUGGCCAGUCUAGAGGUGUUACCUGGUCUCUGUGUGAGGUGAAAUAUGGCCUGAAGACCACAGACUAAAGCCUCUCCUUCUGGAAGUUUCCUCUAGAAAAGAAGCUUGGCAGGGUGGGGAUGGAGGUGGGAUCGGGGAGGGGGGAUGAGAGCAGUCUUCACUAAUUAUCCCACUCAACUAGAUACAUAUGGCUCAUAUUUGUAGGUGCCCCCAGUGUGGCCAGGUCAACAUUUCCCUCUCUGCUUUCAGUUCCCAGGGAACACAGUUUAACCAAAACCACAUUAAAAAGCUCAGUGUCUUCUGGUUCUAACUCAGUUCCUCCAAAUAAUUUUCUUCUUUUUUAUGCAAGAGAGGAUUUGGAAGUCCACCGAUCAUCCUUGAAAACAUCCAUUCAACACCCAUUUACUAAAUGCUUAUGUGUUGGGCAUCGUCAGCACUUUUAAUGAACCUGAUGACAAUAAGACUAAGCAAUAAUUAUAUUAAUGAUGAUGAUUAUGAUAAUAAUCGCUAAUAUGUAUUGACCCUUUAUGUGCCUCACUGAAUAAUCUCUUUAUUUGAAUUUUUUUCAUUUAAUGGAUCAAGCCACCCUAAAAAUGCAUACAGCUAUUAUCUCCUUGAAAGCUCAGAGAGAUCAAGUAACUGACCCAAAGCCACACAGCUUAUAGACCAUGGAGUUCGAAUCUGAACCCAAUCUGCUUGAGUGUGGAGACCAUACACUUAACCAUGGCAGUUUCAUCACACAUCUGCACAGCACACGUGGUAGAGAGGCCCCUGCCUUGGUACGGUGAUUUCGCAACUCCAGGGAACACCAUGCAUGGCAUCCCAUGAGACUGCCACCUGUAGGAGUCAUGUGCUCUACCGGAUACAAGGAAAAUGUGUCCCCACACUGAGCUGUGAGACAAAGAGGAUCCAGCCUAGCUCACUUAGAGCCUCUAGAAGCAUAGGAAAACAAGUCCUAUAUAGGGAUAGCUAUAUAAGUCUUUGCAUUACCAGUGGUCUCUAAUACAGAGGGUGGCAU
RNAcentral lists this long non-coding RNA (2383 nucleotides) under Sus scrofa (pig). Its description in RNAcentral is "lncRNA (ENSSSCG00040038128.1)". Lineage: Eukaryota; Metazoa; Chordata; Mammalia; Artiodactyla; Suidae. The record is from RNAcentral.